This 228-nucleotide ribosomal RNA is filed under the name Escherichia coli. RNAcentral describes it as "partial 23S ribosomal RNA". It matches the Rfam family "Bacterial large subunit ribosomal RNA", at positions 1920 to 2147 of the family's 2925-position model. Lineage: Bacteria; Pseudomonadati; Pseudomonadota; Gammaproteobacteria; Enterobacterales; Enterobacteriaceae. The record is from RNAcentral.
CCGGUAAACGGCGGCCGUAACUAUAACGGUCCUAAGGUAGCGAAAUUCCUUGUCGGGUAAGUUCCGACCUGCACGAAUGGCGUAAUGAUGGCCAGGCUGUCUCCACCCGAGACUCAGUGAAAUUGAACUCGCUGUGAAGAUGCAGUGUACCCGCGGCAAGACGGAAAGACCCCGUGAACCUUUACUAUAGCUUGACACUGAACAUUGAGCCUUGAUGUGUAGGAUAGG